Arachis ipaensis is the source of this 696-nucleotide non-coding RNA. The record is from RefSeq and is a predicted model, not a curated record. NCBI's taxonomy places the organism in Eukaryota, Viridiplantae, Streptophyta, Magnoliopsida, Fabales, Fabaceae.
AAAAAUUUACCAUCCUCACCAUAGCACUACCCCACCAAAAAACGCAAAGGUUUCACAUGGAUUAAGGACUAUUUAGCUGUUUGCUUACUCAUUUACUCUCUCUCUCAGAAUAACAAGCUGAUUCUUCUUCAACCUUCACCACUUUCUCUUCUUCCUCUCUUCCUCCUUCUUCUCUUACAAGAAUUAUGCCUAUUGGAAAGAGAUGUGUGUCCCUCAAAUAUAAUAACACCAGAGUUUGCUCCUCCUCCUCCUCUUUAUUGUUUUUGGGCAUUUUCUGGCUUUUCCAAUAUCAAUGGGUAAUCCAAUUAGAAGUCACUUGAAUUCAGAACAAAUGGAAGUGCUGGGAUAGCGAGUACAUCUGGUUUAACAGUGAGGUGGUGGGGCUUUUAUUAAAUGUUUUCCCUUUCAUGCCAUUCAGUGCUGCUGCAAUUCCUUUGUCAAAUUGUUUAAGGUCUUAUUUUUCUAUCCUCCAUAAAAAAGUGGCCUCUUAAAUGCAUGGAUCUUCUCUCUUUUUGCUUCCCUGGAAUAUUGGAGGUUAGGUUUCAGUAUUUUUGGCUUCAAUUAUGGUCCAUUGAGUGAACCCCUUCCAUGAGUGAGUUGAAUGAAAUUGUGCUAUGCAAUACUUACAUUAGUUUUAGUUUUAGAACAACUUUUAGCUUUUAGUUGGAUGUUUAUCUAAGUGGUUAAACAUUGAUA